This 207-nucleotide ribosomal RNA is filed under the name uncultured bacterium. RNAcentral describes it as "partial 16S ribosomal RNA". It matches the Rfam family "Bacterial small subunit ribosomal RNA", at positions 568 to 774 of the family's 1533-position model. The record is from RNAcentral.
CGCGUAGGCGGCGUGUUAAGUCGGAUGUGAAAGCCCCGGGCUCAACCUGGGAACUGCACCCGAUACUGGCAAGCUAGAGUACGAGAGAGGGAGGUAGAAUUCCACGUGUAGCGGUGAAAUGCGUAGAUAUGUGGAGGAAUACCGGUGGCGAAGGCGGCCUCCUGGCUCGAUACUGACGCUGAGGUGCGAAAGCGUGGGGAGCAAACA